This is a long non-coding RNA of Cervus elaphus (red deer), 165 nucleotides long. RefSeq lists it as uncharacterized. The transcript has 4 exons. NCBI's taxonomy places the organism in Eukaryota, Metazoa, Chordata, Mammalia, Artiodactyla, Cervidae. The record is from RefSeq and is a predicted model, not a curated record.
UGAGCACUGGAAAAACAUCUUGACUAGCUUUGAUUAUGUGAACCUUUGCUGACAAAAUGAUGUAUCUGUAUUUUAAUGUACUGUCUAGGUUUGUCACAGCUUUCCUUCCAAGGAGCAAGUGUCUUUUAAUUUGCAGCUGCAGUUGCUGUCCACAGUGAUUUUGGA